CAGCCGCCGCGGGAAUACGAAGGGGGCUAGCGUUGUUCGGAAUUACUGGGCGUAAAGCGCACGUAGGCGGAUAUUUAAGUCAGGGGUGAAAUCCCAGAGCUCAACUCUGGAACUGCCUUUGAUACUGGGUAUCUUGAGUAUGGAAGAGGUAAGUGGAAUUCCGAGUGUAGAGGUGAAAUUCGUAGAUAUUCGGAGGAACACCAGUGGCGAAGGCGGCUUACUGGUCCAUUACUGACGCUGAGGUGCGAAAGCGUGGGGAGCAAACAGGAUUAGAUACCCCGGUAGUCCCUGUCUCUUAUAC
Molecule: ribosomal RNA, 301 nt
Filed under: uncultured bacterium
Lineage: Bacteria
Description: partial 16S ribosomal RNA
Rfam family: Bacterial small subunit ribosomal RNA
Source: RNAcentral